AUGUCACAUGUCACAUGAAAGUUUCAUCACUGACCUCAAAACUAAAAUAUAUAUACACACACGAUAUCUAUAUGGGUGUGUAUAUAUAAAUUUCUUAAUGUGCCUCUCCAAACAGUACUAAUAUCUCUCUCUUCUUCUUCUUCUUCUUCUUCUCUCACGAUUAGUAGCUAACCAUAUGGAUCCUUGUGUCCCCGAAACCUCCAUGUUCCGGUGGUCUCGGAGUCGCCGGAAGAUUCAUAUCCGCCGUCGUAAGACACGGGUUGUGCGUCUUGGCGGGAAGAACAAUGUGGUGUCACGUGGUGGAUUCUCGUUGAAGAAGAUGGUGAGGAGGAUGAAGCUGAGAUGGUUGAGACUUCAUUACGUGAGACUCGUGAAGAAGAUCAAGGGGUUUUAUAGUAAUUUGGUAAAAGAGUUCGUAGACGCAGGAGUUGAGCUCGAAGCGAUUCAGACGCAAAUGGCGGUUGAAGCGGCUGCGUUUGCGGUUCCGGGUUUAGGUCUCUCUUUCUCCUCUCUGUCAGCUCAUGACCGAGCACGGUAUUUUCUUGCAUAGUCAUAUAUUAUCACAUUCGUUAAAUAAUUACUCUUUGUAAUAUUUAUUACGUUUGUUGUUGUAUAUCUUACAUCUAUUUUAUUUUGUUGUGAUUUCGUUAUUUUUUGGAAUCAUGAGAAUUUGAGAAGUGAAGCUGGUAAUAGAUAAAUAUAAUAUACAUAUGUUGUUGAUUUGUAUAAACAAAAGUAAAUAAAUAUACUAAGUAAUUCUCCAAUUAAUUUAUCUCUCUCUCUAUUCUACUUAACGUAUUUGCUGUUCAGAGUGGUACAAAUUAAUUCGGUUUCUUACAAAUUUGACACAAAGGUAUUAUAGAUUAAGAUCACAUACCUUUACAAAAUCUUUAAAUUAAUGAAACUAUGAGAUGUUACAACAAAUGUAUAAUAUACACACAAAAUGUAGGCGUAGUCAAGGUCGGAUUUAGACACAAUCUAGUAAAAUAUUGGUCUUGCCUCCUAAAUUUUCUGGAAGUUAUAUACAUAUACAUAAGCUCCACAAUUAUCAAAAAGUAAUUAAAGUUUAUAAUAAUAUUUAUAAUUUUGAAAAUUUCAGAUCUGGCCAUACACUACAGGAAAUGUGGGUAUUAAUAGCAUUAGAUUAUAGCGUUUUUGACAAUUCUGCUAUUGUAUACUAACAUUGGUCUUUUUGAUAGCGUUUUUGAAUUUAAUACGCUAUGUUUGCUAUCGCGAGAAAAUAUUUUUUUUAAGCGCGUUAAUUUACGAAGUACCGACGCUUUACUAUUGCAGAUCUUAAAUUAAGCGCUAUCAUAACACAACAUAUAAUUCAUUUUUCCGCCAGAUUAUUACUGGAAAAACAAGUAUCUCUCUUCUACUUUUUUUCGUUUUCCCUCUCAUUCAAUUUUGUUUUGCAACCCUCCAAAACCCCUAAAACAUAAAAUCUAAAUCAUAUACUCUAACCUUAGAGCAGAGCCCUAAAACUCAAAUAUUUUCUCCAUCUUUCACGACAACCCUAUCUCUCGUACAGAUUCAGUUCUAUCUCUCACGAUGGGAAUUGAAAAACUAAGAUCAAAAGUCACGGGAGUUUGACUGGAAUCGACCUCACGAUUCAUCCCUCUCACUCUCUCGGCCAAAGCUAAGACGUCUGUCCUCCAUAAGACGAUUCAACCCUCCUCUCCUCGACUUCUGCUUUUUAUUUCUGAUAUUUGUUUCCAGAGCAGCCCAAGUGUGAAGCGUUAAUAAGUUAAUCUUUGUGGAGACUUUCCUUCCCAAGAUGGGGAUCACUGUCACUGUGAUUGUUCCUGCUGAUAUCGCUGGUCUUGAAGCUGCUGUGAAUAAGUACCAAGUCAGUCCUCGUAGGAGAUCUCCUGAUGGAUUCCGCUAUUGAGAUUACUUCUGAUAGUAGUAGUAGUAGUGGUAGUGAUGACGAGGUAUCCGAGCCCACUAGAACCAGGAGCAAGACCCUUUGGCUCUAUGGUAGCAGAAGCUUCCCUCAAGGGUUCCUCUGAAGUUCAUACUCAAGCGUCUGUUAGUAAUGCCCCAUCUCAGCCAAGAGACUCUACAAAACUUACAGUGCGUGAGAAUAAUGUUUCUGGUGUGGAUAAUGAGAAGCUCCCUGCUCAACAAGCUCAGAAACGAACCAUUCCACCUUCUUUUAAUCCACCUCCUGCUCCUUCAAGAAGUGCUAACAGUAUAGGUCAUGCCAACAAGGCGGAUAAUACAAUUCCAGCUACUCGCGGUAGUGCACCGAGUUAUUUGCUAAGAGACACUACAACAUUUACAAGGAAUGUCGAGUAUGUUGUAAGCUCUAAUGUCUCUGGUGUGGAUGAUAAGAAGCUUCCUGCUCAACAAGCUAAUACAUCAAAAAGUGCUAACAGUGUUAGUCAUGGAAACGUGGGGGAUUAUAGUAGUCCAGCUGUAGGUAACAAGAAUACUUUUGGUGAUGGUUACUACCGUGGAGCUCAUGCUGAGAGUGAUUGUUCUAAUAAGAAGCACUAAAGGAUAGCUUGAUGGUGGUGAAGAGAAGAGGUUGAUGCUUUUAGUUCAUGUUUUCAUGUAUAGACUUUUAGUUCAUGUUUUCAUGUAUUGACUUUGUGGGUUUUAAAUUUUUAAUGGAAAACUAUAUGAUUGUUCGAUAA
Molecule: RNA transcript, 2642 nt
Organism: Raphanus sativus (radish)
Lineage: Eukaryota; Viridiplantae; Streptophyta; Magnoliopsida; Brassicales; Brassicaceae
Gene name: helicase-like transcription factor CHR27
Exons: 3
Source: RefSeq, a predicted model, not a curated record